UGCUGGAGGUAUCAGAAGUGCGAAUGCUGACAUAAGUAACGAUAAAGCGGGUGAAAAGCCCGCUCGCCGGAAGACCAAGGGUUCCUGUCCAACGUUAAUCGGGGCAGGGUGAGUCGACCCCUAAGGCGAGGCCGAAAGGCGUAGUCGAUGGGAAACGGGUUAAUAUUCCCGUACUUGGUGUUACUGCGAAGGGGGGACGGAGAAGGCUAUGUUGGCCGGGCGACGGUUGUCCCGGUUUAAGCGUGUAGGUGUGUGUUCCAGGUAAAUCCGGUUCACUUUAACACUGAGGCGUGAYGACGAGGCACUACGGUGCUGAAGCAACAAAUGCCCUGCUUCCAGGAAAAGCCUCUAAGCAUCAGGUAACAUCAAAUCGUACCCCAAACCGACACAGGUGGUCAGGUAGAGAAUACCAAGGCGCUUGAGAGAACUCGGGUGAAGGAACUAGGCAAAAUGGUGCCGUAACUUCGGGAGAAGGCACGCUGACAYGUAGGUGAAGUGAUUUACUCAUGGAGCUGAAGUCAGUCGAAGAUACCAGCUGGCUGCAACUGUUUAUUAAAAACACAGCACUGUGCAAACACGAAAGUGGACGUAUACGGUGUGACGCCUGCCCGGUGCCGGAAGGUUAAUUGAUGGGGUCAGCGCAAGCGAAGCUCCUGAUCGAAGCCCCGGUAAACGGCGGCCGUAACUAUAACGGUCCUAAGGUAGCGAAAUUCCUUGUCGGGUAAGUUCCGACCUGCACGAAUGGCGUAAUGAUGGCCAGGCUGUCUCCACCCGAGACUCAGUGAAAUUGAACUCGCUGUGAAGAUGCAGUGUACCCGCGGCAAGACGGAAAGACCCCGUGAACCUUUACUAUAGCUUGACACUGAACAUUGAGCCUUGAUGUGUAGGAUAGGUGGGAGGCUUUGAAGUGUGGACGCCAGUCUGCAUGGAGCCGACCUUGAAAUACCACCCUUUAAUGUUUGAUGUUCUAACGUGGACCCGURAUCCGGGUUGCGGACAGUGUCUGGUGGGUAGUUUGACUGGGGCGGUCUCCUCCUAAAGAGUAACGGAGGAGCACGAAGGUUGGCUAAUCCUGGUCGGACAUCAGGAGGUUAGUGCAAUGGCAUAAGCCAGCUUGACUGCGAGCGUGACGGCGCGAGCAGGUGCGAAAGCAGGUCAUAGUGAUCCGGUGGUUCUGAAUGGAAGGGCCAUCGCUCAACGGAUAAAAGGUACUCCGGGGAUAACAGGCUGAUACCGCCCAAGAGUUCAUAUCGACGGCGGUGUUUGGCACCUCGAUGUCGGCUCAUCACAUCCUGGGGCUGAAGUAGGUCCCAAGGGUAUGGCUGUUCGCCAUUUAAAGUGGUACGCGAGCUGGGUUUAGAACGUCGUGAGACAGUUCGGUCCCUAUCUGCCGUGGGCGCUGGAGAACUGAGGGGGGCUGCUCCUAGUACGAGAGGACCGGAGUGGACGCAUCACUGGUGUUCGGGUUGUCAUGCCAAUGGCACUGCCCGGUAGCUAAAUGCGGAAGAGAUAAGUGCUGAAAGCAUCUAAGCACGAAACUUGCCCCGAGAUGAGUUCUCCCUGAGACUU
RNAcentral lists this ribosomal RNA (1569 nucleotides) under Salmonella enterica. RNAcentral's name for it is "partial 23S ribosomal RNA". Lineage: Bacteria; Pseudomonadati; Pseudomonadota; Gammaproteobacteria; Enterobacterales; Enterobacteriaceae. The record is from RNAcentral.